RNAcentral lists this ribosomal RNA (253 nucleotides) under uncultured bacterium. RNAcentral describes it as "partial 16S ribosomal RNA". It matches the Rfam family "Bacterial small subunit ribosomal RNA", at positions 524 to 776 of the family's 1533-position model. The record is from RNAcentral.
UACAGAGGGUGCAAGCGUUAAUCGGAAUUACUGGGCGUAAAGCGUGCGCAGGCGGUUUUGUAAGACAGGCGUGAAAUCCCCGGGCUUAACCUGGGAAUGGCGCUUGUGACUGCAAAGCUGGAGUGCGGCAGAGGGGGAUGGAAUUCCGCGUGUAGCAGUGAAAUGCGUAGAUAUGCGGAGGAACACCGAUGGCGAAGGCAAUCCCCUGGGCCUGCACUGACGCUCAUGCACGAAAGCGUGGGGAGCAAACAGG